CGGUAGAGGGGGCAACCCCUCGAGAGUGGCGAACGGGUGUGUAAUAUAUCGGAACGUGCCCAGUCGUGGGGGAUAACGUAGCGAAAGUUACGCUAAUACCGCAUACGAUCUACGGAUGAAAGCGGGGGAUCGCAAGACCUCGCGCGAUUGGAGCGGCCGAUAUCAGAUUAGGUAGUUGGUGGGGUAAAGGCUCACCAAGCCAACGAUCUGUAGCUGGUCUGAGAGGACGACCAGCCACACUGGAACUGAGACACGGUCCAGACUCCUACGGGAGGCAGCAGUGGGGAAUUUUGGACAAUGGACGCAAGUCUGAUCCAGCCAUUCCGCGUGCAGGAUGAAGGCCCUCGGGUUGUAAACUGCUUUUGUACGGAACGAAAAGGUUUCUAUUAAUACUAGGAGCUCAUGACGGUACCGUAAGAAUAAGCACCGGCUAACUACGUGCCAGCAGCCGCGGUAAUACGUAGGGUGCAAGCGUUAAUCGGAAUUACUGGGCGUAAAGCGUGCGCAGGCGGUUAUGUAAGACAGAGGUGAAAUCCCCGGGCUCAACCUGGGAACUGCCUUUGUGACUGCAUAGCUAGAGUACGGUAGAGGGGGAUGGAAUUCCGCGUGUAGCAGUGAAAUGCGUAGAUAUGCGGAGGAACACCGAUGGCGAAGGCAAUCCCCUGNANCUGUACUGACGCUCAUGCACGAAAGCGUGGGGAGCAAACAGGAUUAGAUACCCUNNAGUCCACGCCCUAAACGAUGUCAACUGGNUNGUUGGGUCUUCACUGACUCAGUAACGAAGCUAACGCGUGAAGUUGACCGCCUGGGGAGUACGGCCGCAAGGUUGAAACUCNAAGGAAUUGACGGGGACCCGCACAAGCGGUGGAUGAUGUGGUUUNANUUCGAUGCNACGCGAAAAANC
Molecule: ribosomal RNA, 904 nt
Filed under: uncultured bacterium
Lineage: Bacteria
Description: bacterial SSU rRNA
Rfam family: Bacterial small subunit ribosomal RNA
Source: RNAcentral